ACAGACAUACAUACAAACAGGGUCAUUGGUGCAGGCAGCUUCUUAGAAAAGAGAGCAAAGAACAUUUUUGGAGAAAAGCAAUCUGAGGUAUUAAGGAAAUGUCAGACAUGAAAAAUUACACGUUUUGCAUUACGUGUUGUGGCAGGGAUAUCAUUUAUAUUUGGACGGUUCCAAAUUUGAGUUGGUAUUGAGUGCAGAUAGUGUGGUCUUUUUAUACCGGGGCUAUCUGUUUAGAGACUAUCAUACAGGAUGUAGUUGGUU
This is a long non-coding RNA of Sander lucioperca (pikeperch), 261 nucleotides long. RefSeq lists it as uncharacterized. Lineage: Eukaryota; Metazoa; Chordata; Actinopteri; Perciformes; Percidae. The transcript has 3 exons. The record is from RefSeq and is a predicted model, not a curated record.